GCGAUCGUGGCGAAAUGGCAGACGCGCUAGUUUCAGGUACUAGUGCCGAAAGGCAUGCCGGUUCGAGUCCGGCCGAUCGCA
Molecule: transfer RNA, 81 nt
Filed under: Verrucomicrobium sp. GAS474
Lineage: Bacteria; Pseudomonadati; Verrucomicrobiota; Verrucomicrobiia; Verrucomicrobiales; Verrucomicrobiaceae
Rfam family: tRNA
About the family: Transfer RNA (tRNA) molecules are approximately 80 nucleotides in length. Their secondary structure includes four short double-helical elements and three loops (D, anti-codon, and T loops). Further hydrogen bonds mediate the characteristic L-shaped molecular structure. tRNAs have two regions of fundamental functional importance: the anti-codon, which is responsible for specific mRNA codon recognition, and the 3' end, to which the tRNAs corresponding amino acid is attached (by aminoacyl-tRNA synthetases). tRNAs cope with the degeneracy of the genetic code in two manners: having more than one tRNA (with a specific anti-codon) for a particular amino acid; and 'wobble' base-pairing, i.e. permitting non-standard base-pairing at the 3rd anti-codon position.
Source: Rfam by way of RNAcentral